RNAcentral lists this ribosomal RNA (253 nucleotides) under uncultured bacterium. Its description in RNAcentral is "partial 16S ribosomal RNA". It matches the Rfam family "Bacterial small subunit ribosomal RNA", at positions 524 to 776 of the family's 1533-position model. The record is from RNAcentral.
UACGUAGGGUGCGAGCGUUGUCCGGAAUUAUUGGGCGUAAAGAGCUUGUAGGCGGUCUGUCGCGUCUGCUGUGAAAAUCCGGGGCUCAACCCCGGACCUGCAGUGGGUACGGGCAGACUAGAGUGUGGUAGGGGAGACUGGAAUCCCUGGUGUAGCGGUGAAAUGCGCAGAUAUCAGGAGGAACACCGAUGGCGAAGGCAGGUCUCUGGGCCAUAACUGACGCUGAGAAGCGAAAGCAUGGGGAGCGAACAGG